Molecule: RNA transcript, 6941 nt
Organism: Homo sapiens (human)
Lineage: Eukaryota; Metazoa; Chordata; Mammalia; Primates; Hominidae
Gene: CENPC
Gene name: centromere protein C
Exons: 19
Source: RefSeq, marked reviewed
AGCUCUCGCGGCAGUCGCCUGAGACUUAAGGUUAUUGCUUGGCCGCGGCCUGGUAUUCCGGCGAUUCGUUUCUUGCUCGGCUUCCUGGAGCUGUGGUCCGUGUGGGCUUCCACCUCAGACAGUUGCGCUGGCUCAGCGGGGCCGGAACAUGGCUGCGUCCGGUCUGGAUCAUCUCAAAAAUGGCUACAGAAGAAGAUUUUGUCGACCUUCCAGGGCACGUGACAUUAACACAGAGCAAGGCCAGAAUGUUCUGGAAAUCUUACAAGACUGUUUUGAAGAAAAAAGUCUUGCCAAUGAUUUUAGUACAAAUUCUACAAAAUCAGUGCCUAAUUCAACACGCAAAAUAAAAGACACUUGUAUUCAGUCACCAAGCAAAGAGUGCCAGAAAUCACAUCCAAAGUCAGUUCCAGUUUCUUCAAAGAAGAAAGAAGCCUCUCUACAGUUUGUUGUAGAACCAAGUGAAGCCACAAACAGAUCAGUUCAGGCCCAUGAAGUUCAUCAGAAAAUUCUGGCAACUGAUGUUAGUUCCAAAAAUACACCUGACUCGAAAAAAAUAUCAAGUAGAAACAUAAAUGAUCAUCACAGUGAAGCUGAUGAAGAAUUUUACUUAUCCGUUGGCUCACCUUCUGUUCUUUUGGAUGCAAAAACAUCUGUAUCACAAAAUGUUAUUCCAUCUAGUGCCCAAAAGAGAGAGACUUACACUUUUGAAAAUUCAGUAAAUAUGCUGCCUUCAAGUACAGAGGUUUCAGUUAAAACCAAAAAAAGGUUAAACUUUGAUGAUAAAGUUAUGUUAAAGAAAAUAGAAAUAGAUAAUAAAGUAUCAGAUGAAGAGGAUAAAACAUCGGAAGGACAAGAAAGAAAACCAUCAGGAUCAUCUCAGAAUAGAAUACGAGAUUCAGAAUAUGAAAUUCAACGACAAGCUAAAAAAAGUUUUUCAACAUUGUUUUUAGAAACAGUAAAACGAAAAAGUGAAUCCAGUCCCAUUGUUAGGCAUGCGGCAACUGCUCCACCUCAUUCGUGUCCUCCCGAUGAUACGAAGUUGAUAGAGGAUGAAUUUAUAAUUGAUGAGUCGGAUCAAAGUUUUGCCAGUAGAUCUUGGAUUACAAUACCAAGAAAGGCAGGGUCUCUGAAACAACGCACAAUAUCCCCGGCUGAGAGCACUGCACUCCUUCAAGGUAGAAAGUCAAGAGAAAAGCAUCAUAAUAUAUUACCUAAGACUUUGGCAAAUGACAAACAUUCCCAUAAACCUCACCCAGUAGAGACAUCUCAGCCCUCUGAUAAAACAGUACUGGAUACAAGUUAUGCUUUGAUAGGUGAAACAGUAAAUAAUUAUAGAUCUACAAAAUAUGAAAUGUAUUCCAAGAAUGCAGAAAAACCAUCUAGAAGCAAAAGGACUAUAAAACAAAAACAGAGAAGAAAAUUCAUGGCUAAACCAGCUGAAGAACAGCUUGAUGUGGGACAGUCUAAAGAUGAAAACAUACAUACAUCACAUAUUACCCAAGACGAAUUUCAAAGAAAUUCAGACAGAAAUAUGGAAGAGCAUGAAGAGAUGGGAAAUGAUUGUGUUUCCAAAAAACAGAUGCCACCUGUGGGAAGCAAGAAAAGUAGCACUAGAAAAGAUAAGGAAGAAUCUAAAAAGAAGCGCUUUUCCAGUGAGUCCAAGAACAAACUUGUACCUGAAGAAGUGACUUCAACUGUCACGAAAAGUCGAAGAAUUUCCAGGCGUCCAUCUGAUUGGUGGGUGGUAAAAUCAGAGGAGAGUCCUGUUUAUAGCAAUUCUUCAGUAAGAAAUGAAUUACCAAUGCAUCACAAUAGUAGCCGAAAAUCUACUAAGAAAACAAAUCAGUCAUCUAAGAAUAUUAGGAAAAAAACUAUUCCACUUAAAAGGCAGAAGACAGCAACUAAAGGCAACCAAAGAGUACAGAAGUUUUUAAAUGCUGAAGGUUCUGGAGGUAUCGUUGGUCAUGAUGAAAUUUCCAGAUGUUCGCUGAGUGAGCCAUUGGAAAGUGAUGAGGCAGACUUGGCUAAGAAGAAAAAUCUUGAUUGUUCUAGAUCUACAAGAAGCUCAAAGAAUGAAGAUAACAUUAUGACUGCACAGAAUGUUCCCCUAAAGCCUCAGACCAGUGGAUAUACAUGUAAUAUACCAACAGAGUCAAACUUGGAUUCUGGAGAGCAUAAGACUUCAGUUUUAGAGGAAAGUGGACCUUCCAGGCUCAAUAAUAAUUAUUUAAUGUCUGGAAAGAAUGAUGUGGAUGAUGAGGAAGUUCAUGGAAGUUCAGAUGACUCAAAACAAUCUAAAGUGAUACCAAAGAACAGAAUCCAUCACAAACUAGUAUUGCCCUCCAACACACCAAAUGUUCGCAGGACCAAGAGAACACGUUUGAAACCUUUGGAGUACUGGCGAGGAGAGCGAAUAGAUUAUCAAGGAAGGCCAUCAGGAGGAUUCGUGAUUAGUGGAGUACUAUCUCCAGACACAAUAUCGUCUAAAAGGAAGGCAAAAGAAAAUAUUGGAAAAGUCAACAAAAAAUCUAAUAAGAAAAGGAUCUGUCUUGAUAACGAUGAAAGAAGUAUGAACUUAUUUCUGAAAGUAACUUUUAGAUUUUAUUUUAAAUAGGAGUACUUUGAGAAGAAGCUCUUUGCAAAAUAUGAAAUUUACUUCCAAAAACUUCAGAAAUAAUACCAUAGAGACUAACUUAAUGGUAAAUCUAGGUAUACCUCUUGGAGAUCCUUUGCAGCCAACGAGGGUAAAGGACCCAGAAACAAGAGAGAUUAUUCUCAUGGAUCUUGUAAGGCCACAAGAUACAUAUCAAUUUUUUGUUAAGCAUGGUGAGUUGAAGGUAUACAAGACAUUGGAUACACCCUUUUUUUCUACUGGGAAAUUGAUAUUAGGACCACAAGAAGAAAAGGGAAAGCAGCAUGUUGGCCAGGAUAUAUUGGUUUUUUAUGUUAACUUUGGUGACCUUUUGUGUACUUUACAUGAAACACCUUAUAUAUUAAGUACUGGGGAUUCGUUCUAUGUUCCUUCAGGUAACUAUUAUAACAUCAAAAAUCUCCGGAAUGAGGAAAGUGUUCUUCUUUUUACUCAGAUAAAAAGAUGAAAGAUCAACCAACCUUAAAUAUAUGUAUGUAUAUAUGUAUAUGUGAAAAACAGUUUGUAUAGUUGGAAUAUUUGUCUUUGUAAUUACUUGUGAUGUUUUAAAAUAAAAAUUUUAUUCAGUUUUCUGUAGACUUGUAUUUGAUAAACAUUUCUAACUCACAUGUUUUUUCUGAUUUUUCAGUGACUGUACAUAAUAGCUUGUAGCGAUGUCCAUAUUUAUGAUAUUAUUUUUAUAAUUUGACAAGAAUAUGAAAAUGAAAUAUAGAACAUUUCUGUGUCAAAAGAGACCUGAUUAAUAUGUCUACUCAUUAAAAAACAUCUUUUCCAAAUACUAAUUUUAAAUCAUUUAUUAUUAAAUAAUCCAAUGGGAGAGAACUGUGGUAAAAGGCAUGUUUGUAUUAAUUUCCUAGAACUGCUGUAACAAAAUACCACAAAAUGAGUGACUUAAAGCAACAGAAAUUUAUUAUCUCAGUUCUAGAGGCUAGAAGUCUGAAAUCAAGGUGUUGUCAAGGCCGUGAUGUCUUUGAAAACCUGUAAGGGAGAGAAUCCUUCCUUAUUCCUAACUUCUGGUGGUUUACUGGCAAUUUCUGGCAUUCCUUGGCUUGCACCGGUAGCAUUUCAAUCUACUUGCAUUAUCACAUGGUAUUCUCACCUUGUGUGUCUGUGUUGGCAUGACAUCUAUUUAGUAUAUUACAUGUAAAUGUUUUUCCAUUAUGCUUUUUGGUUCAUAUUUUCUGUUGGAGGCAGUGUCCUUCGCCAUUGCUUUCUGUAUGUGGCCUCAACUUUCCCUUUUUAAUAUCAAUCAAUACAUCUAAGCUAAAAAUUCUAAUCAAGGUUUUUGGUAUGGUUAGCAUAUAAUUCUCAUUAACUCUGAAGAAAUUGAUGUUUUACGGUAAAAAUAUUUUUAGGCCAACUCCCUUUUCAGGUCUUAUUUAACCAUUAAAUACACACAUUUAAAGCAACUCUGGUGUAGGACUUAGGAAGAAUGAAGUGUGAUGGCUCUUUUUUUAUACUUUAUAAUUUUCUAUUGUGAUUUCUCUUUUAUUGAGUCAUUUUUAAUUUUUUUUUUACUUUUAUUUCUUUGAAUAUAUUUGUUAUGAAGUCUUAUUGAAGGCUUGACUAAUCAAGUAUCUGGGCCCAUACAGAUUUAGUUUUCACUGAAUGCUUUUUUUCCUUUAGUAUAUUUCACUUUCAUAUGUUUUUACAUGUCUAAUAAUUUUUGGUUGACAGCUGGACAUUUUAGGUAGCAUAUUGUAGCAACUCAAUUUUGUUUUAUAUCUAAGGGAUUUGUAUUGUUUUAAAUUUAGCAUUUUGACUGGACUCAAAUUGUGGAAUCUAUCUUAUAUAUGAUGUGAAGUUAUUGCUGUCUGUGCUCAGUUUUUAAGUUCUUUAUUUCAAUAUUUAUUCUUGCUUGCUAGGGGUAGUUCCUGUGUCUGCAUAGCUUAGCAGUCAGCCAAUCAUUUGGACAAAGGUUAAGAUCAAACACUUGAGUCUAUAAGCCUUCCACCCACUGUUGGUUGUUCUGUGUGGGAUGGGGGAUGCAUUCAUUGUAGGAGGCAGUUCCCAAAUUCCCCUUGGUUUUUACAUUUGCCAUGCUCUCUUGAGUCUCCCCUGUGCAUGCAUCAUUUCAGUUUGCCAAAGAUGUUUGGAGAGCUCAUGUUACCCUUUUCUGCCCUUCUGUUUCCAGGACCUUGUUAAAUGUCUGGCUGCUCUGUUGCUCUUCAAGAACUAGGACUGUAACCUUUGGUUAGCAACUACAGAUACUCCUUGUCCAUUCCUAAGUGAUUUUUUUACUUUUGACUUACAAAGUUGUAGGUUUAUACCUCUGCUGUAAAUCAAGACUCCUCUUACGGCAAAGUUGCUAGUUUUUCAGUUAGCUACAGCCAGACAAAACUGUAGUUUUUACCAAUCAACCUAGGGGUGGGUGAGACCUCACUCAAGGAGGCCACAGAUUCCAACAGUUCUUUUCCAAAGCUUUAGCAAUAUUUUUUCUUUAUUUUCUUUUUUCUUUUCUUUUCUUUUUUUUUUUUUUUGAGGCAGAGUUUCACUCUUGUUGCCUGGGCUGGAGUGCGAUGGUGUGAUCUCGGCUCACUGCAACCUCCACCUCCCGGGUUCAAGCAAUUCUCCUGCGUCAGCCUCCUGAGUAGCUGGGAUUACAGUUGCUUGCCACCACGCCUGGCUAGUUUUUGUGUUUUUAGUAGAGACAGAUUUUCACCAUGUUGGCCAGGGCUGUCUCGAAUUCCUGACCUCAGGGUGAUCCACCCACCUCAGCCUCCCAAAGUGUUGGGAUUACAGGUGUGAGCCACUGUGCCCAGCUUAAGUGUAGCCUUUCUUUGUCUAAACUGAAAGCCCAUAUGGUUCAGCAAAGGCUCUCCAUUCUGCUUGGUCAGAGCCACGUCUGAUUUUUGCCACCUCUGUACUCUGUUCAGCUCAUAGGCUUCUGUCAUGUCUCAGAAUUUUGCUCUGCACAUUUGCAGCCUACUGUUCAGCCAACUGUUCAGCCAACUUCUAGGGCUAUAAUGGCUGAUACAGUAGUCACAAGUUGUAGCUAUUUAAAAUUAAUUUAAAAUAUUGUUUCUUACUUGCAUUUGCCACAUUUCAAGUGCUUAGUAGCACAUGGUACUGGUGGCUACCACAUUAGAUGUCACAGAUACAAGUUGCAGAAAGUUCUGUUCUUGGGCACCUCGUGCAGAUUUCUGGAGCUCUUUUUCAGUGGAGUUUCCACUUCUGUACCCUGCAUCACAAUUCAGUUUUCUCAACAGCCCUAAAUUGUGAUCUUUCUGUGCCCAUUAAGACCACUGUUCUUUUUGAGCUUAACUCUCUGUGUCCAGUUUUGGAGAGUGCCCCCAGGCAUAAAACUGGGUGACUAUGGAGUUAAUUUCAUGUCUUUAAAGAAUCACAGUCCUGCCUACUUUGUCAGGCAGCCCUCAUGCUCAUGAAGGGUCUUAAAGAAAGAGACUUCUACCCGGGCAUGGUGGCUCAUGCCUGUAAUCCCAACACUUUGGGAGGCUAAGUCGGGUGGAUCAUGAGGUCAGGAGUUCGAGACCAGCCUGGCUAACAUGGUGAAACCCCGUCUCUACUAAAAUACAAAAGUUAGCCGGGCAUGAUGGCAGGUGCCUGUAAUCCCAGCUACUCAGAGGCUGAGGCAGGAGAAUUGCUUGAACCUGGGAGAUGAUGGUUGCAGUGAGCCAAGAUCACGCAACUGCACUCCAGGCUGGGCAGCCGAGCAAGACUCUGACUCAAAAAAAGAAAACAAAAGAAUCACCGUCCUUCACUUUUGUCCAAUGUCUGCAUAGAGUUACCUUUUAUCUUUUUCUAUUUUAAAGUUUGUUGGAGGAGGGCAAAUUUGAUACCCAUUAAUCCAUCGUGGGCAUCACCCAUGAGAGUUUUUUUAAUGAUUUUUCUAAUUUUUAUUGUUGGAUAGGAUUCCACAGUUUGUUGUCCAUUUACUUACCACAUGGAUGCAUGUGUCUUUAAUUUCUUCCAAUGGUUACUUACAUCUAUGUAACUACAAUGCAGAAAACAGGAAUUUGGCAAGGAUACAAUGCAUGUGUAUAGUUCUAUUUCAUCAUAUGUGUGAAUUUGUGUAACUACUGCAAUCAACAUAGAACUGUUUCAUCAUCACUAAUUUGUUCUUCAUCUCUGUAAUAUUGUCACUUAUAUAUUGUUGUAGCAAUGGAAUAAUAUAGUGUAUGACCUUUGGUUUUUCUCACUCAGCAUAAAGCCCUUAAGAUCAUCCAAGCAGUUAUACCUAUCAAUAGCUCAUUUCUUUUUUAUUGCUAAGUGGUAUUCUCUAGUAUGGAUGACUGUACCACAAAUAAAGAUGAAGUGAACACUUCCUACA